Molecule: ribosomal RNA, 491 nt
Filed under: uncultured bacterium
Lineage: Bacteria
Description: partial 16S ribosomal RNA
Rfam family: Bacterial small subunit ribosomal RNA
Source: RNAcentral
AAUGAACGUUGGCGGCGUGGAUUAGGCAUGCAAGUCGUGCGAUAUUCCCUCGCAAGGGGGAUGAAAGCGGCGAAAGGGAGAGUAACGCGUGGAUACCUACCCUGGGGACCGGGAUAGCCGCGGGAAACUGCGGGUAAUACCGGAUAACGUCUUUGGACCAAAGGUGUGAUUCCGCCCUGGGAUGGGUCCGCGCCCUAUUAGCUAGUUGGCAGGGUAAUGGCCUACCAAGGCGAUGAUGGGUACGGGGUGUGAGAGCAUGACCCCGCUCACUGGGACUGAGACACUGCCCAGACACCUACGGGUGGCUGCAGUCGAGGAUCUUCGGCAAUGGGCGCAAGCCUGACCGAGCGACGCCGUGUGCGGGAUGAAGGCCUUCGGGUUGUAAACCGCUGUCAGAGGGGAGGAAGUACCGGGAAGUAAUACAUAAUCGACCCGGUUUGACCUAUCCUCAGAGGAAGUACGGGCUAAGUUCGUGCCAGCCGCCGCAGUAA